Molecule: ribosomal RNA, 253 nt
Filed under: uncultured bacterium
Lineage: Bacteria
Description: partial 16S ribosomal RNA
Rfam family: Archaeal small subunit ribosomal RNA
Source: RNAcentral
UACCAGCACCCCGAAUGGUCGGGACGAUUAUUGGGCCUAAAGCAUCCGUAGCCGGUUCUACAAGUCUUCCGUUAAAUCCACCUGCUUAACAGUUGGGCUGCAGAGGAUACUAUAGAGCUAGGAGGCGGGAGAGGCAAGCGGUACUUAGUGGGUAGGGGUAAAAUCCGUUGAUCCACUGAAGACCACCAGUGGCGAAGGCGGCUUGCCAGAACGCGCUCGACGGUGAGGGAUGAAAGCUGGGGGAGCAAACCGG